GCCUUUUCCUUCAUGCAGAGUUUUGACAAU
Molecule: non-coding RNA, 30 nt
Filed under: Cricetulus griseus (Chinese hamster)
Lineage: Eukaryota; Metazoa; Chordata; Mammalia; Rodentia; Cricetidae
Source: RNAcentral